This 601-nucleotide ribosomal RNA is filed under the name uncultured Ascomycota. Its description in RNAcentral is "eukaryotic LSU rRNA". The stretch from base 251 to 404 matches the Rfam family "5.8S ribosomal RNA". The record is from RNAcentral. Lineage: Eukaryota; Fungi; Ascomycota.
CAUUAAUUAAACGCGAAUUGCUAAGAGGCACCCCCCCUUCUGGGGGGGGAAGCAUGGCUCUGGCACAUCCUUUGAUUAUAUCCCAUCUGUGAAUCUUUCCACUGUUGCUUCCGUGAGCCUGUGCUUAGCUCUCUCUGAGAGUCAACGCACCUGAAAAGUCCUGGCGCACUGCCAGGAGCGCACGGCAAUGGUACCCAAACCCUUGUUUUAUGCUGAUGCAGUCUGAGUGGUUAACACACAAACAAGUUAAAACUUUCAACAACGGAUCUCUUGGUUCUCGCAUCGAUGAAGAACGCAGCGAAAUGCGAUAAGUAGUGUGAAUUGCAGAAUUCAGUGAAUCAUCGAAUCUUUGAACGCACAUUGCGCCUCCUGGUAUUCCGGGAGGCAUGCCUGUUCGAGCGUCAUCAAACCCACCCUCAAGCAAUUUUGCUUGGUCCUGGAGGAAGAUGGUCUCCUGACUAUCCCCUCUCGAAUUCCUCAGCGGAGACCACAGCAGCCUCAGGUGUGAUAAUACUACCUCGCUUGAGAGUUAUUGUGGGCUCUCGCUGGAAAGCAGCCCCCAGCUAUUACAAGUUUGACCUCGGAUCAGGUAGGGAUACCC